Molecule: ribosomal RNA, 536 nt
Filed under: uncultured bacterium
Lineage: Bacteria
Description: bacterial SSU rRNA
Rfam family: Bacterial small subunit ribosomal RNA
Source: RNAcentral
GCGAGUUUGAUCAUGGCUCAGGACGAACGCUGGCGGCAUGCCUAAUACAUGCAAGUCGAGCGGAAUGAUGAGAGCUUGCUCUCCGAUUUUAGCGGCGGACGGGUGAGUAACACGUGGGCAACCUGCCCUACAGAUGGGGAUAACUCCGGGAAACCGGGGCUAAUACCGAAUAAUCAGUUUGUCCGCAUGGACAAACUCUGAAAGACGGCUUCGGCUGUCACUGUAGGAUGGGCCCGCGGCGCAUUAGCUAGUUGGUGGGGUAAUGGCCUACCAAGGCAACGAUGCGUAGCCGACCUGAGAGGGUGAUCGGCCACACUGGGACUGAGACACGGCCCAGACUCCUACGGGAGGCAGCAGUAGGGAAUCUUCCACAAUGGACGAAAGUCUGAUGGAGCAAUGCCGCGUGAGCGAAGAAGGUUGUCGGAUCGUAAAGCUCUGUUGUAAGGGAAGAACACGUACGGGAGUAACUGCCCGUACCUUGACGGUACCUUAUUAGAAAGCCACGGCUAACUACGUGCCAGCAGCCGCGGUAAUAA